CUAAAAUUAAUAAUAGAAAACUUAUCAAUUUGUUUUGUAUCUUAGUUUACUGAGGAUAAGCUCAGUAAAAACAAUAAAAUAGUAUACAUCUCAUUUAGCUAGCUAUAUGGGCUUGAAAUUAGCCAUUGUGUUAAAGUUUGUUACAAAAUAGUUUUUACAUAUAGAAAGAUUGAUAUACUUUUUUUACAGGGGUAACAUGAAAAAUCAUGAUAUCUUGAUUCACUUAUGCUAGGAUGAGUAUUAAUGUAUAAAAUAUAUAAAACAAAAAUAGAAAGACAUAUAAAAUAACUUUGCUCAAAACAAAAUAAGAAUAAGGAAUUCAGCAACGCUUAGCUCCGCCUGUUUAUCAAAAACAUGGCUCUUUGUUAACUAAAUAUAAAGAGUCAGACCUGCCCAGUGAAGUUUUAACGGCCGCGGUACUCUGACCGUGCAAAGGUAGCAUAAUCAUUUGCCUUAUAAUUGAAGGCUUGUAUGAAUGGUUUGACGGGAGCAUUACUGUCUUUUUCUUACCCUAUAGAACUUGACCUUUGGGUGAAGAGGCCCAGAUACAGUUGAAAGACAAAAAGACCCUGUCGAGCUUAAAAAGGAAUCAGAAUAAUUUUAUUAUCCAAGAUUAAUUACUGACUAAUUUUUUUGGUUGGGGCGACCAAGGAACAAAAAAGCUUCCUCUAUUUUCUUAGCUAAUAAGCAUGGAUCCAGAAAAAGCUGAUUAAAAGAAGUAGUUACCGCAGGGAUAACAGCAUAAUCUCUCUUGAGAGACCUAAUCGAAAGAGGGGGUUGUGACCUCGAUGUUGGACUAGAAUAUCCCAAAGAUGCAGAAGUCU
Molecule: ribosomal RNA, 824 nt
Filed under: Tylomelania insulaesacrae
Lineage: Eukaryota; Metazoa; Mollusca; Gastropoda; Pachychilidae
Description: partial 16S ribosomal RNA
Rfam family: Bacterial large subunit ribosomal RNA
Source: RNAcentral